Molecule: non-coding RNA, 6773 nt
Organism: Solanum lycopersicum (tomato)
Lineage: Eukaryota; Viridiplantae; Streptophyta; Magnoliopsida; Solanales; Solanaceae
Source: RefSeq, a predicted model, not a curated record
UUUAGUGUUGAUAUUAUAUUGAAAAGUUACAUGUGGUAGUUUUAGUUUUGAUAUUGAAAAAGUUUAAUGUGAUAGUUAAUGACUUUUUUUUUCUAACUAAUAUUUUUUAGUUUUAUACUUUAUUUGAUCAAAAUAACAACAAUGAAUAAAUAGCUAACAACAUAUUGGAAAGGUGGAACAAUUUUCAAAGGUUGUUAUGUGUAAAAUGCAGUUACGAUUAUGGCAAAUCAAGAUUCUACCAGUGUGAACAUGCCUUUUAAAAAAAUAAGUGUCUUUCUAUUGGUUUUGAGUUUUUCUAUUUUGUUGUAUGUUCCUGUGUGAAAGAAUAGUUGGACUUGGAAACUCUCUACUCUGCGAAUUUAUUUUUUUCUAUAGAAGAAUAUUAGGCUCAAAGAAUAUGCCAUGUUUCGUUAAAGUUUCUCUCUAUCUCAUUAAUGUUGAUAAACUUAAUAAAUUGUAUCCGUGAAGCGGUUCUUGUUUCUGAAUCUGAUAGACUUCUAUGGCAUGUUCAAAUUUGUCUGAUAUAAUCUUGAUAUUGCUAUUUUUCUAUAUUUAAAUUGUGGAGGAGAAGAUAGAAAUUUUGUCUUUUCUUGUUUAGACCUUGCCUAAGUACCUUGGAAUUCUAUUUCUUCAUAAUUGACUUACGAAGGGUAGUUGGUAUAUUUUUAAUGGUAUUAAAAAGAAGAAAAGAAUUGUUUUUUUUUUUCAUUCUUCAAGUAGUUACAGAAGGCAAAUCCUUAAUCUAACUCACCUAAAUUUACACAAUCAUGAUAUUAGUUGAAUGUGCUAUUCAACACUAAUCACAAAUUAUCAUAUAUUCAUUGUUUUUAUUGUUGAUAAAGGAAAAGAUACAUUCUAUUUGAAGAAGCAUUGUUGUACUAUAUGCUCUCCAUGUCCUUGCUAUAUAGUUACAUAUAUAUUUCAUUAUUUUCUUAUCAAGAUCAACAAACACAUGACAAAGGGAAUAAGUGACGACCGUUGAGAUUGUGAUACGCCACCGAGGAACCAAAACAAGAUAUAGCACCUAAGCAGGUCGGAAUUUUUUUUAGCAAUUAAGAUCAACAAACACAUACAAAGAGAAUAAGUUACGACUGUUGAGAUUGUGAUACGCCACCCGAGGAACCAAAACAAGAUAUAGCACCUAAGCAGGUCGGGACAAAUUUUAGCAAUUAAGGUACAAUAUAUCAAUACCAUUCUUUUUUCUCUUUUAUAUUAUGAGGGUAAAUGUGCUGCACAACUUUUCAACUCUAACAAUUAAUAAAUCAUCAUUAACUUACAAUGUUACGACUUUUCAAUAUUAUUUUGGUCUAUCCAAGAUCAGUGUAGAAAUAGAGUGAUUGAAACAGAGUAUAAAAAUAAAGUAGAAAGUGUAUAAAAAGAUUCCAAUUAUUAGGUUAUCUAUGAACUUUGAGAAAGUGAUCUCUAAAAAUUCUAGCAGGAGACUUCUAGUAAAAAUGUCGAAGCAAGAUAUUUUCAUUUCAUUUUGAAGAUAUGGUUCUUGAUUUGAUUGAUAGUUUUUGACAUUGUAGAGCUAUAUAGUAAUGAGUUGAUAGAGGAAUUGUAAAGAUAACUUCAAACUCUUUGGAUGAUUUUAUAUUUAUGGAUAAUACAUUCGUAUAAUUUUAAGUCUAUUUAGUGCUUGAAAGAUCUUAGAUUACUGAUUCUUAUUCAACUUGUAUGAAAUUUAUAGUUAUGAGUAAUACUUUCGUACAACUUUAAUUUUAAUUUUAAAAUAAAUUAAGAUGCAAUUUCUAAAUUAAUAUUUUGAUUAAAUUAAUUACCUAAGUUGCUAAUUUGUCGAUAUUAACUUUUGGGUACAUUUUCUCUUACUAAUUUGUUAGAUUUCCUAUAAAAUAUAAUGUGGCUCUUCAAAGUGUUGACAAAAAUUGAGAUUAGUGAACAAGUCAAAUGAUAGUUAAGCACUUUGUGACAAGUCUCAUGGUGCAGUAACAUAACUUUUUUGUGGGCAUUUGCUUGGCAUGAUUUUUUGAUAAUAGUUAUGCAUGAAGCCUAAAAUUAAUAGAUUAAGCUGAUCUUGUGGUAUUUGUUCUGUUACUUUACUAUGAAUUUGUCUAACUACUCUUUUAUUUACUAUAUUCUAAACAGUUUGCACUAUGUAUCAAUAUAUUAUCGUACAAAGAAGAGCCUUUACCUUUUAAUUUUCUUUAUUUGUCUUUGCUUGAGCCAUAUACCGAUAAUUAGGGAUGUAUAAAAGUAUUUCUAAAUUUUUGGACACCGCCUUAUUAUUUUAAUGAAGUAAUGUGAUAUCCAUUAUGGAGUGUGAGUCAAUUCUUUUGAUGAACAAAAAGAUCAAUAUUUGUAUACUUAAAAUCAUCUAUUAUUACAAAAAUUGCAACAUGUACUGCUUCUAAUUAAUUUUAGCAUUUCAUUACAAAAUUGAUGAUUGCCUAAAAUCUUUUCUUUAAAUGAUCUUAUUCAUGAGGAUGUUCUAAUUGAACAUAUGCUUGACAUCAUCAUUUGAUAGAAGAAUGUUAAGUGUGUGCACCUUAAAGGGCUGAUAAUCACAUAUGCGGGCUGGAGAAAACAUCAAAUGAUGAUUCUUUAAAUUAGCUAAACAAAGACCAAAUCAAAUUGAUUUAAUAUGUAUGUACCUUCUAUUUUAUAAUUCUUUGAUAUUCAUUUUUUGCUUUUCUUGCUUGUAGUUUAUCCCAAGCUGAUUGUUAUAACUCUUGGUCAUAGAAAAUAAUUUCGUACAUUUUUGUGAUAGAUUUGUUUUUUGAUAGAGAAGUAAAACAACGUAUGGAAUUUUCAAUCAUAGAAAGCUCAAUAAGAUCGAGCCUGAGAUGAUUGAUAUUCCAAGAAUGAUCGACGAAGAUGAUUUCAUUUUAGGAGAGGUCAAUUUAUCUAUUUCGCAUAUUUACACGAGAAUUAAAUGUUCUGUCAAUGUUGACGUAUGCAUUUAAUCAAGUAUAGUUUCUAUUUUUCUAUGAAAAUAUUUGAAAAAUUAUCUAGAUAGACAACUUGUUUUGUCAGAACGAUUCGAUCUUAUUGAAGGAAUUUCUAUAAUAUGAUAAACAAUAGAAAUAAGAUGUAAUUAGGUCUUUACAUUAUGAGAUUUAUGUAAAAAUUUUAAAAAUUUAUAUCAAAAUUAAGUAUAUUGGGCCCGUGCUUAGCACGGACCGUACCUAUCUAGUAUUUUCCUUGAGUUUUGAAGGGAAGUCAUUUUUCUUAAAUUUGAGAAAAAUGAGUUGAUUUGGAAUACAUUUAACAUUUUACCUAACCAAACAUGAGAAAAUUGGAAAAAAAAUUCCGAAAAAUAUUUUUCUUCAUACCAAACACACCAUUGAUCUUGUUACUGCUAAAAAGUCAUCCUUCUUGUGAGGUGCGUUCAUUAAAAAAAAGGUACCAUAGUGAUUAGAUGUUAACCGAUACACCUUUCGACGAUUUUUAAUUAUGUUGUCAAUUCAAUCAAUAUUUUAUAGGUUGUCUAGAGGAUUAGUAAAAUUGAUAUCCAAUAGGCUAAACCAUUAAGCCAAUUAUCCGCCUGAUCUGUCCAAUAAACAUCUCUAAUUGUGUAUGUAUAUAUUGUAAUUUUAUUAAUAUGACUAUAACUUUUUUUGAAAUUUGUAACUAAUAACGAUAAAUUUAAAUUGAUAAGAUAAACCACAAGUAAAAGAUGAAGAAACAUAGCUUUAUUGAACAAAAUAAUAUGGAUACAAAAAUGUUUAUUAAAAAAUUUCUCCAUGAUUCAAGGCAUUAGUGGUAUAUUUCUCGAAGAACAAAAAAUGUAGGUAUUAAUUUUAAUAUGCACAUUUAAUUUAAUUUCAUAAAUAAUUAUCAUGCAAAAAAAUUUCAACGUGACUUUUAUAUAUAUAUAUAUAUAUAUAUAUAUAUAUUACCCUUUUUAUAUAAACCAAUAACAAAAGGACUAACAUGGCAUUAACUCAUUGUACCGUAAGCAUUAGGUGUUUGUACGUUUUUACAAGUAUCAUUCUGGCCCUCUUUUAUUGGUCAUUCAACACGUGGUUCUAUAUCAAUUUGCAUGUCUACCGUCCUAUUACCUUCAUUAUCAGACGAAUACAAAGUAAACCAUCACAUUGUUCUCACAUUCUUCAAGCUUCAAAGUUCAAACUGGUAGGUUUUUAAUUUUCUUUUGUUGUUUUAUGCAAUUGUUUCAUCUCUUUUCUCUAAUUUGAUUUUUUUUGUUAUCUCUUUUCUCUAAUUUGAUUUUUUUGUUUUCUUUUACUGAAAUUUCGAGAUUUUACUACUCUGAAUCUCCUGCACAAGCGUCGAAUUGAUUUUACGAAUCUUCUGCACAAGCGUCAAAUUGGAACAACAAAUUAGGAAAGUUGUAUAUGGUGAUGAUAUUGAGUAUUAUGCAGACAAGCUAAAAUUGUUGAAUACAUAUAUAAUCUUUACUGCCAAAGUCAAAGUUUCACUACCUUCGUAUCGGAAGUAUAUUACAUAAAUUCUAUUGGGUGUUUGAUAAAGGAAACUCUGAUCGAACAUAUCAAACCAAAUAACCAUCUUGAGAGACCGUUGUUACCACCGACCAAAUUAGUUACCACAAUAUUUGCCAAUAUUGCUCAACUAACUCCUGCUCCUAAUGCAGAAAUUGAUGUUGUAGGAGUUGUUCUUCAUUGCGGCCCUUUGCAAAAUGCAGGUCUCAUUCAAAAUAGGUGUCACGAGGUUACUAUAUUUGAUGAUCAAAAACACCAAUUUCUGCUAACUUUAUUGGGAAAAUAGAAGGAGUUGAAUUGAAAUCUCAAAUGGGAAAGCGUAAAGAAUUCACUGUAAUCCUUGCAAGGAACAUUGGAAUCUCUGGUUAUGAAGAUUUAUCCUUACAAAGGAGAUUCAACUCCACGAUACGCAUAAAUCCUACUUAUCCGCAUGCAUUAAAAUUGAUCAGUUGGGCAACAACAAACAAAGACGUUCUUGUAGGAAAUGUGUCGGGUAACUUUGCAGGAUCAUCCACUGCUCUAAACAAGAAUCUUAAUCACCAGCGAGUCAUUUCUAUUGCAGAACUUGCAAAAACAGCUUCAGUUAGAGUUUUCCACAUCGAGGCCGAAAUAUCAAUAUCAGCGAGUUAUUUUUUAUUAAUAUCCUUUUGCAAAUGAUUUAAAGGGACAUAAUAUAAAGGAAUAAAAUUUUGUUUCUGAAAACAUUAUAUCUUCUACAAUAACUAAAGAAGCAAAAUAUGUUCACUUUAAAAGAAAUAUAAUAGCAAAUGAAGAAGAUCUACUAUUACAAACAAUGUUGAAUCCUGAUCAGGGCAUUUAAUACAAUACUUGAUAGGGUAUAUUCAAAUAAAUCAGGUGUUUUUUCAUUGAUGGUCCAGGCGGAACUGGAAAAACAUUUUUAUAUAAAGCUUUAAUAGCAAAUGUAAUAUCCAAAGGCUUUAUAGCUUUAGCAAACAACAAGUUCUGGUGUUGCAUCUUCAAUUCUCCCUGGAGUGAAUGCCACAAUUUAGGUGAUGCAAAGAGCUGCAGAUGAGCCUGUUGAUAAAUUGUAUACUUCGUCUAUAAUGACUGAUGCCAUUCUCCAGAUCAGACGUUGAACAUCACAACCCAUAGGCUUUGAAGAAGAUAUCAUACAAUUCAAUAGUUUGUUGACAAAAUCCAACAAACAAGCAAUGAUGCAAUUCGAACUCUGUAUGUUGCAAAUAUUGUCGUUGUCAAUGUUAAUGUAGUGCUUUUGUUAGACUAAUGGAAUGGUGCUUUGUCUCACUUUUGCAAGCUUUGCACUGGCCUCUUCGAUUUUUGAUAAUAAUCUUCUGCUGCUGUAUUUGACAACUCUGAGUUGGAUGCUAAACAACUUUGAUUUCUUCUCCCAUAGCCUUGCAGAUGACACUUGCUCAGCUUUGAAGGACUUUCAACGGAAUCCUCAAAACAAUAUCUUGCAAAUUAUACUUCAAAGUGAAAAAACAAAAACUUCUGACAAAACAUUAGAGCAUAUUGGCCACACGGUUCCUAAUUUCAUUACUCAGGUUCUGUCAAGAGUCAAAUGUUAUAAAGGAAAUUCUUUAGGCAAUUGCGCAGGUGAAGGAAGAUUCAUUCAACAUGCCUGAUAUAAAUAUUCCCUGAUUUACUGAGCCUAAGUGAGCGCUCCAAAGUACCAGUGCAUGCCAUUUAGACGUUCAGAACGAAUACUGUGAUCAUCUAUGUUGUCACUCUCCAUUCUCAUGGUACUUUUACUACUUAAAUUGAUAGUAAAAGCUCACCAAGAAACAUGAAAAAGGUCGACACAUGUUCCAUUACUCCUGAAAAGUCAAAAUAAUACCAAAUAACUUGCCCAAUGGCAGUAAUUAUGCAGGCUUCCUAUUCGCAUAGACUUCUCUGUUUUUCUUGUAUCGUGUGGUAUGUGAAGCCUGCUGCAGCUCCUACACCUGGACAAAUAACUGGCCAAGUCCACCCCCAUCAAUGUAGUAGCACUGUUGCUGGAUGUGGAAGAGGUGAUUAGAGACCACCAGGAAUGAAAGAUGGCUAUGAUUAUCAAACAUCUUCGAAGAUGUAAGACUGAUUCCAUAACAAAUAUUUGCUCAAAGUAUGUCCAGAUUCAACGGACCAGACAACUAAUAGAUUUGAAGUUCCUAUGAAUUAAAAAAACUCAAAAGCAAGGAGAUGACGGAUGAAAUUGAUCUCCAAUAGAGCAGUAUCCAUGAAAAUCAAAGAAACUGCUUACUCAAACCUCUUCUCAAGUUAUAUUAUAGUAAUCAUUCUGUUAUAGCAUUAUGUGCUUUGUAGGUAAUGAAUGGAGUAUGUUGUCAAAUUUAGUAUGUUAUCAAAUUUAGUGUAAAUAUGUAUUAUUCUGAA